RNAcentral lists this non-coding RNA (24 nucleotides) under Arabidopsis thaliana (thale cress). Lineage: Eukaryota; Viridiplantae; Streptophyta; Magnoliopsida; Brassicales; Brassicaceae. The record is from RNAcentral.
GACCGAAGGGACAAGCCGACCAAU